GCUCAAUGACUCUUCAAUAGCCGCAGGCCUCCCUGUGCUAAGGUAGCACAAUCAUUUGCCUUUUAAUUUAAGGCUUGUAUGAAAGACUUAACAUCUUAAUUACUUUCUCCAAUUUAUAUCUUUAAUUUAUUUCAAAUAUAAAAAAAUAUUUAUUUUUUAGAAAGACGACAAGACCCUAUUGAACUUCACUUUAGUUAAGCUGGGGCAGCUAAUUAAUUAUUAUUUUAAUUUCCUUUCUUUUAUAAAUUGACCCAAUACAAUUGAUUUCAUGAUCAAGUUACCAUAGGGAUAACAGCACAAUAUAAUAUUAAAGCUCUUAUUUAAUAUUAAGCUUGUGACCUCGAUGUUGAAUUAAUAUUCUCUUUGGUGCAACCACUCUAACAGAAAGUCUGUUCGACUUUUAAACAAUUACAUGAUUUGAGUUCAAACCGGUGUGAGCCAGGUUGGUUUCUAUCUUCUUAUUCUUAUUCUCAGUACGAAAGGACCAGAAAAUAUUUUAAAUCUUAUUGGCAGAAUAUUGCAUUAGAUUUAGAAUCUAAUUACUCUACAAAUCACCUUUAUUAACUCCUUA
Molecule: unclassified non-coding RNA, 571 nt
Filed under: Stegodyphus dufouri
Lineage: Eukaryota; Metazoa; Arthropoda; Arachnida; Araneae; Eresidae
Description: partial contains 16S ribosomal RNA and tRNA-Leu
Rfam family: Archaeal large subunit ribosomal RNA (bases 159-459)
Source: RNAcentral